RNAcentral lists this long non-coding RNA (201 nucleotides) under Elaeis guineensis (African oil palm). RNAcentral's name for it is "long non-coding RNA (EGUI_LNC040481)". The record is from RNAcentral. Lineage: Eukaryota; Viridiplantae; Streptophyta; Magnoliopsida; Arecales; Arecaceae.
AGGGCAAUGGCUCUAGGGUUAUGAUGAGAUUAUACCUAUGAGAUUUAAAAUAUUAAAAAUCUUGAUUUAGAAUAUUCUUAGUCAUAGGAGUAUUGAGUAGAGGAUCAAUGUUUCGGAUAGACUGGUACUUCCUAUGUAUGCUCGAUGGAGAGGGUGGCUGAUCUCAUAAGCUACUUGUGUGAGACACUAAUAGAAGGAUGU